RNAcentral lists this transfer RNA (90 nucleotides) under Candidatus Pelagibacter sp. RNAcentral's name for it is "tRNA-Ser". It matches the Rfam family "tRNA". Rfam says of the family: Transfer RNA (tRNA) molecules are approximately 80 nucleotides in length. Their secondary structure includes four short double-helical elements and three loops (D, anti-codon, and T loops). The record is from RNAcentral. Lineage: Bacteria; Pseudomonadati; Pseudomonadota; Alphaproteobacteria; Candidatus Pelagibacterales; Candidatus Pelagibacteraceae.
GGAGAGGUGGCCGAGCGGUUGAAGGCGCACGCUUGGAAAGCGUGUAUAGGGGAAACUUUAUCAUGGGUUCGAAUCCCAUUCUCUCCGCCA